Molecule: ribosomal RNA, 496 nt
Filed under: uncultured bacterium
Lineage: Bacteria
Description: partial 16S ribosomal RNA
Rfam family: Bacterial small subunit ribosomal RNA
Source: RNAcentral
GAUGAACGCUGGCGGCGUGCCUAAUACAUGCAAGUCGAGCGAACAGACGAGGAGCUUGCUCCUCUGACGUUAGCGGCGGACGGGUGAGUAACACGUGGAUAACCUACCUAUAAGACUGGGAUAACUUCGGGAAACCGGAGCUAAUACCGGAUAAUAUAUUGAACCGCAUGGUUCAAUAGUGAAAGACGGUUUUGCUGUCACUUAUAGAUGGACCCGCGCCGCAUUAGCUAGUUGGUAAGGUAACGGCUUACCAAGGCAACGAUGCGUAGCCGACCUGAGAGGGUGAUCGGCCACACUGGAACUGAGACACGGUCCAGACUCCUACGGGAGGCAGCAGUAGGGAAUCUUCCGCAAUGGGCGAAAGCUUGACGGAGCAACGCCGCGUGAGUGAUGAAGGUCUACGGAUCGUAAAACUCUGUUAUUAGGGAAGAACAAAUGUGUAAGUAACUAUGCACGUCUUGACGGUACCUAAGCAGAAAGCCACGGCUAACUACGG